This 4146-nucleotide long non-coding RNA is filed under the name Podarcis lilfordi (Lilford's wall lizard). Lineage: Eukaryota; Metazoa; Chordata; Lepidosauria; Squamata; Lacertidae. The record is from RNAcentral.
AGAGGGGAAGUUAAUGUUUUGAAAAUUGGCCGGCUUGUUUUGGGGGGCUGGUGGUGGCUUCUCAACUGAUCCAAAAUGAAUCUACAGGAAGAGCUUUUCUCUUAAGCUGAGAUGCUGCCUUCUCUUCUCUCAGCAGAAAGAUUUACAGUCAAGGUACCUGUUAUAAGUGAUAAAACUGCUCCUUUCCCCUCAUGGAGUACCCAAGAGCCCAUAUGGAGUCCUUUUGUAGGUUCUCUAUCAGUAGGAAAAAAUAACAGAGACCAACCAGAGAAUAUUGAGAAGCAAAGCAGCUAGUAAGCCUGAUCUUUAUUAACUGUUGCAACAGGGUGCUCCCCCACAUGCAGGAGAGAGGAGGAGGACCCAGAACAAAGGUGUGCCCGCCCUUAUAUAGACUUUUGGAAUUGCCCACCCUCAAACAAUCCCCAGAAACAUUAUACAUACAUCACAGAAGGGGUGUAGUAGCCCAGGACCACCUCCCCCAAUACAACAUACCUACAUCACAGAAAAGGCGGUCUACAACAGAAAUCUGAGUGUGUUGUUUAUCUCCUGUCUGGCAAGUUAUCUGAUUGCAUUAUCUGGGUUUUGGCCACUCUUUUGUUAUUAUAACUACUUAAUUCCUGAAUCUAGGUCACAGGUCACAGGCUCACCCUGUUUAUAUCUUGAAUGUGCCCUUAAGACAGGAUUUGUGAGGACAAGAUUAGUGAGGAAAGAGACAACGGGGACGUUUCCGACUUUGACCUUGCAGAGAAAUAUUUGAGGUCAAUUUGUUCAGGACCUUGUCUAUGGGGUUUCAGAUAUGUGGUUUAUAUAUACAGUUAUGAACAUUUAAAAAAAAUAAUAUGACCUUAAAAUUCUGAUAACAGUACCUGAGGGUGAUAACCAGCUGAUAAUACAUGCUAUCUCCCCAGUGUUGGAUUACCCAGUAGACAGACUAAGCACCUAUUUAGGACACCAGCAAAACAGGUGUACAAAUUCCUUUAAUAAAUAAAUAGAUGACAUUUGAUAUGUUUUUUAGAAGCAUUAUUUACGUGGGUGGGUGGCCAAUUUAAUUAAAAAAAUAUAUCUGAGAAACAAAUUUUCUGACAUGCUAGACUUGUACAAAAGAAUGGGUUAUUUAAAAAAAAAAAUAAUGUAUGUGUCAUGACUAGACCCACCUGUAAUCCAUCAAGGAGUAUCUCCCAUAUGGAAGUAGAAGGUGUGGUGAUAGACGACACCCAGGAAAACAUCACCACACACAGGGGGGAGGGGAAAGGCCCACACAAUACACUUCAGUACAUCCACAGCUGGGUAACAUGAUUUUAUGUUGUAUUCCCUUCUCUCCUUAACACACUAUUGGCAAAAUCAAAAUUAAAUGGAGGGGGGCAGAAUGUGGGCUGCCACUUGGCUCUGGAAUGGAUAAUGGGAAAAACAGGCAUGUGCCAAGAAGUUGAGGGAAAGGUCUCGUGAUUGACACAAGGGACCAGCUAAGCAGCAUUGUGCAAAUCCAGCCUCUGCUGAGACCCAUAAUAACAAGCUUUACUCUUAGCUUGAUUUUAGGGAGCAGGUUGUUCACAUGCUCAGAAUGCUGUGAGUGCACUUAUAUAGUGGGCUCACCUCACUCAAAUUACAUUCCUUCAUUCAUGUUCUGUGCUGCUCUGAUAAGCUUAAAGGUAAAGGUAAAGGGACCCUUAACUAUUAGGUCCAGUCAUGGAUGACUCUGGGGUUGUGGCGCUCAUCUCGCUUUACUAGCUGAGGGAGCCGGUGUACAGCUUCCAGGCCAUGUGGCCAGCAUGACUAAGCCGCUUCUGAACCAGAGCAGCACACGGAAACGCCGUUUACCUUCCCGCUGGAGCGGUACCUAUUUAUCUACUUGUACUUUGACGUGCUUUCGAACUGCUAGGCUGGCUUAGGAGGAGCAAUUUUCAGAAUGUGAAUAGGGAAGGUAAAAAUCAGAUGCAGCUCUACCACGUAUGAUACCAAAUCUGUCAAAUAAUGAAUAAAUGUAGUAGAAAAUACCAACAUCUUGCCCCAGACAUUUGCAAUAAAUGAUAAGUGUAUUACGAACAGGAGUACCGUAUUUUUCGCCCCAUAGGACGCACCGCCCCAUAGGACGCACCUAGUUUUUUUGGGGGGGGUAAUAAAGGGAAAAAAAUUAUUUCCCCCCCCCCAGGCGCCCCAAGCCUUGCGCACCCGGCGGGACCUCCUGCAGGGUGUGCGAGGCUUGCAGACAUCUGCCCGAAGCAGGGGGCGGGCUCCGCAGCUGGCUCCCUGCUUCAGGCUGCAGGCUGCCGCCCCAAGCCUUGCGCGCCCGGCGGGACCUCCCGCCGGGCACGCGAGGGUUGCGGAUAGCUUCCUGAAGCCUAGAGAGCAAGAGGGGUCGGUGCGCACUGACACCUCUCGCUCUCCAGGCUUCAGCGAAAGCCUGCAUUCGCCCCAUAGGAUGCACACACAUUUCCCCUUCAUUUUUGGAGGGGAAAAAGUGCGUCCUAUAGGGCGAAAAAUACGGUAAUUUUCUCCACAGAAGCACUCAACAGGCCUGUAACAAAUUCAGUAACUCAGAAUUGCUUGUAUAAUGUGCUCAUUCACUCACCCACAGUCAUGCAAAUGUUCCUUGAAUGCAGAUGUUAAGAGAUGUUGUAAUGUUCUGAUAAAGCAUAAGUAGAACCUUUUAAGUAGAAAGGGUCAUGUAUUAUCUGGUCAAACCAUUUACCAUAAGGAAAGGACUCCCAACUUCUGACAACCUGUUUAUUGAGCAUUCAUCUUGAUUUUCUGGCACAAAACAUGCGGUGGGGGCUGGUUUCGCCAACCCUUAAGUUUGCCUCUGCCUUCUUCGGCAAUCUCUCGUAGCCGAGUAAGAUUGUCUUCCAUAAACACGGUUUUAACAGUGAGUCCGUAAGUGACUGUGGAGGCCAAUUCUGGAUCCACACGUCCUUCCACAGUGUGGACAUUGGUUUCCGAGCGGGAGUUGAUCACGGUGUGGAUUUGCCAAGUGUGCCUUCCUCUUAGCAUGUUUCUCCCUUGCAUCCUUAGUUCGAGUGUCUUCAAAGCCCAUGAAACCUUUGGUAAAGGCUGUUCUCCAAGUAUGGAAGGAUCUGUCAUUUUCAGUUCUCUCAGCGUCUCAUUUUUCUAAUCUUAAAUUCAGUUCUCCAUAUUUGUGGAUUUGUUUUUUUAAGUCCUCAUGAAAAUGUUUCAGUAUUUUAGUGCGAAUCUCUCCUAAAAACACACGCACAUCUGUACCUGCAAUUUUCACAUUUUUGAACACAACUUAAUAUAAAGCAUUUUCGUAUGCUAUUUUCACAAAUAUAUUUUAAAAUGCAUUUCCUCCUAAUAUAUGCAUUUUUAUAAACACUGCUUGGUUGUUAAAGUGCAUCACAGAAUUUGGAUAAGUGCUAAUUUUGAAGGAUGGCUGUGUUUUGGUUCUCAUACUGUUCUGGAAAGUGCAAAUCUGAUAAAAUUGGCUUGAAAAUGUAAACAGAACCAAAUUUGUCCCCCAUCCCUGGCUGAGACUGAUGGGAGUUGGAGUCCAACAGCAAAUGGGGGUGGGUUGUUGUUUUUUUACAGUUUUCUCAUCUUGCUCGAUAUAGAGUCAUGAUAGUUUUGUCCCUGGAUGUUGAAUGUCCAGAGGUAUUCCAUUAUAGUAUGCCAGUAAAUAUGUGUGUGCAUUAAAAAAUGGAUAUGCUUUUGGGUUGGGGCUGUGUGCAUCUGUGUUAUGCGCAGAACCAAAUGUACACACCCAUGAAUGCAAUGCAUUAAAAAUGCACCCACUUAGCACACUUGCCAAGAGGAAAUGCACCAAAGCAUUGGCUUGCUCCCUUAAGCAGGUUGCCUCUCUCAGUUGGGAGCAAUUGCUGUGAACUCUGUUUCUUACAUCUGCACACCUGCUUCCUUACAGUGAGAACAUCUGUGGAGGGGAGAAGCUGGCACAUCCAACAGAAAGGACAUGAGGCAACAGUCAGUGACAGAGAAGAGCAGGUUGGGAAAGGGUCUCCACUUCUAUACAAGCUUCUAGGGGAAAGCCAGGCUCAUAGAGAGCACCCUAGACUGAAUUUCAAAGCCAAGGAAUUCCAGCUCAAUCAAGAGAAAGUGCCCAAGAUGGCUGUAAGUAACUUCCAUCCAUUGACUCGCAGUGUGGCAGCUCAGCACGCCAUCUUACGCAACACACAACAC